Molecule: long non-coding RNA, 324 nt
Organism: Drosophila novamexicana
Lineage: Eukaryota; Metazoa; Arthropoda; Insecta; Diptera; Drosophilidae
Exons: 2
Source: RefSeq, a predicted model, not a curated record
AUUCGAGAUUAAAAAAUCACAAUGCAACUCCUCAGCUAUUAUUUGUUUCUUCAUAUAUAUUUAAUCACGACAAUGUGCCUACUUUUAAUUGCCGCAAGACUUGCCUGCGGUUCUGACGGGUAUUGUGUGGAUAAGAAUGGGUUUUGUAAAGGUGUGAAGCUUCCCUCAGCCGACUGCAGAGGCUCGACCCCAACUAUCUGUUGCCAAAGAAAUGCUGUUGGUUAAAUGUGCCGCAUUAAAUAUGUAACCGUACUUAAAACCCAAAAUUGCGCUAAGCCUAAAACACACUAGCAAUAAAAUGAUAAUAAACUAAUAUUCAUAUUA